GACGAACGCUGGCGGCGUGCCUAAUACAUGCAAGUCGAACGCAUUUUCUUUCACCGUAGCUUGCUACACCGACAGAAAAUGAGUGGCGAACGGGUGAGUAACACGUGGGUAACCUGCCCAUCAGCGGGGGAUAACACUUGGAAACAGGUGCUAAUACCGCAUAAUUCCAUUUACUGCAUGGUAGAUGGAUGAAAGGCGCUUUUGCGUCACUGAUGGAUGGACCCGCGGUGCAUUAGCUAGUGGGUGGGGUAACGGCCUACCAAGGCUGCGAUGCAUAGCCGACCUGGGAGGGUGAUCGGCCACACUGGGACUGGGACACGGCCCAGACUCCUACGGGAGGCAGCAGUAGGGAAUCUUCGGCGAUGGACGCAAGUCUGACCGAGCAACGCCGCGUGAGUGAAGAAGGUUUUCGGAUCGUAAAACUCUGUUGUUAGAAAAGAACAAGGAUGAGAGUGGAAAGUUCAUCCCUUGACGGUAUCUAACCAGAAAGCCACGGCUAACUACGUG
Molecule: ribosomal RNA, 507 nt
Filed under: uncultured bacterium
Lineage: Bacteria
Description: partial 16S ribosomal RNA
Rfam family: Bacterial small subunit ribosomal RNA
Source: RNAcentral